This 430-nucleotide ribosomal RNA is filed under the name Acidobacteriota bacterium. Its description in RNAcentral is "Acidobacteria bacterium partial 16S ribosomal RNA". It matches the Rfam family "Bacterial small subunit ribosomal RNA", at positions 355 to 776 of the family's 1533-position model. The record is from RNAcentral. Lineage: Bacteria; Pseudomonadati; Acidobacteriota.
UGGGGAAUAUUGGACAAUGGGCGCAAGCCUGAUCCAGCCAUGCCGCGUGUGUGAAGAAGGCCUUUUGGUUGUAAAGCACUUUAAGCGAGGAGGAGGCUACUUGGAUUAAUACUCUAGGAUAGUGGACGUUACUCGCAGAAUAAGCACCGGCUAACUCUGUGCCAGCAGCCGCGGUAAUACAGAGGGUGCGAGCGUUAAUCGGAUUUACUGGGCGUAAAGCGUGUGUAGGCGGCUUCUUAAGUCGGAUGUGAAAUCCCUGAGCUUAACUUAGGAAUUGCAUUCGAUACUGGGAAGCUAGAGUAUGGGAGAGGAUGGUAGAAUUCCAGGUGUAGCGGUGAAAUGCGUAGAGAUCUGGAGGAAUACCGAUGGCGAAGGCAGCCAUCUGGCCUAAUACUGACGCUGAGGUACGAAAGCAUGGGGAGCAAACAGG